UGGUAGAUGAGAGCUAGGAGAGUAAGAGAGAAGGGUGAGUGCUAGGUUAGCCAUCAAUCAAAGAGUAUUGUGUACUCUAUUCAAUAUUUUUGGUCAUGUAAUAAAGAGUAUCUUCUUGUAAGUAGUAGCCUCCUAGUUAGGCCCUUAGUUUCUAAGUACAUAGUGCAUAUUAAGUUGUGAUCUAUCUGAAGGUUGACUCUGUCACCCGGGAUCACUGAUCCAUCUGAAGGAUGGCUCUGCCACCUGGGAUCAUAAGGGUCUAGGCUUCAUUUGAAGGCUGGCAGUGCCACCCGAAAGCCAGCUUCAUCUAAAGAUAGGCUCGGCCACUCAAAAGUGAGAAGAUGGUUCUGCCGUCAAAAGGACCCAGUGCACUAAGUUAUUAGAAAUUAAAAGGGGCUAACUGACUCGUAUGAGUUAGGCUAGCUUAGGUCCUCAACCUAGUGGGUAUUAGGACCACCCCGAUUCCCAACAAUAAUGAGACUGCAUUUACUCUUGUGACACAAUACAAAAAACGUUUCUCAUUUGCCAGUAAAAUAAUUUUCCCUUCUUGCAGAUGCAUCAAUGCAAAUGGAAAGGAAAUGACCGGGUUUGAUAAACAAUUUGUCUUCCAUCUCCAUUUUGGAGGAAAGCGUAUUUUACUGAAGCUUCAAAGAAACUGUAUUCUGAACAUAGGCAGCGGGUCAUUGGUACCGUUGUCUUUAAUAUGGAUGCAAGACUUGUUGGAUUCGUUCAUUUUUGUAGGAAUACAUUUGAUGUCAAGCUUGCUGCGAGAUCAGAAGCAUUGUCUUCCAAUCUGAAUAAAUGGCUAAAGGGUAAAGAGUUGAAAGUAAGAAAAAUAUUCAAUUCCACAAAAUUCUUAUUGUUUGGUUCCAAAUAAGUCAUUUUGUUGUGUUUUGUGUUUUUUUGUUUAUUUUCUCAAUUUGGAGGACCACAUCGCACCUUACAUUGAGAAAAGGUGGCCCAGUUCGAAGAGUUAAAACAACAUUUGUCUCAUCAAAGGUUGGAGGAAUAACUGGAACUCCUCUUUGCA
This is a long non-coding RNA of Phragmites australis (common reed), 1030 nucleotides long. RefSeq lists it as uncharacterized. Lineage: Eukaryota; Viridiplantae; Streptophyta; Magnoliopsida; Poales; Poaceae. The record is from RefSeq and is a predicted model, not a curated record. The transcript is spliced from 2 exons.